This is a small nucleolar RNA of Rhododendron vialii, 108 nucleotides long. RefSeq annotates it as small nucleolar RNA snoR100. The record is from RefSeq and is a predicted model, not a curated record. NCBI's taxonomy places the organism in Eukaryota, Viridiplantae, Streptophyta, Magnoliopsida, Ericales, Ericaceae. The transcript has a single exon.
CAAUAAAAGAAGCAUGAUAAUAUUCACAUAAAUUGAAUUGGGUCUCUAGGCCUGCCAUAUCUGAUGUUAUUUAGCUUUGAUGUGGGGACAUGGUUCCGCAACAAAACA